UCCGGUUCUUCACCAGCAGUCUCCUUAGAGUCCCCACCAUUACAUGUUGGUAACUAAGGAUAAGGGUUGCGCUCGUUACGGGACUUAACCCAACAUCUCACAACACGAGCUGACGACAGCCAUGCAGCACCUGUCUCACGGUUCCUUUCGGCACUCCAGCAUCUCUGCCAGAUCCCGUGGAUGUCAAGGGUAGGUAAGGUUCUUCGCGUUGCAUCGAAUUAAACCACAUGCUCCACCGCUUGUGCGGGCCCCCGUCAAUUCCUUUGAGUUUUAACCUUGCGGUCGUACUCCCCAGGCGGAAGACUUAUCGCGUUAGCUUCGAUACUAAAGGGUCUAGGCCCUACAACAUCUAGUCUUCAUCGUUUACAGCGUGGACUAC
This 379-nucleotide unclassified non-coding RNA is filed under the name uncultured Gammaproteobacteria bacterium. RNAcentral's name for it is "contains 16S-23S intergenic spacer region". The record is from RNAcentral. Lineage: Bacteria; Pseudomonadati; Pseudomonadota; Gammaproteobacteria.